UACGUAGGGCGCAAGCGUUAUCCGGAAUUAUUGGGCGUAAAGAGCUCGUAGGCGGUUUGUCGCGUCUGCCGUGAAAGUCCGGGGCUCAACCCCGGAUCUGCGGUGGGUACGGGCAGACUAGAGUGAUGUAGGGGAGACUGGAAUUCCUGGUGUAGCGGUGAAAUGCGCAGAUAUCGGGAAGAACACCCGUGGCGAAGGCGGCUCUCUGGGACGGUACUGACGCUGAGACGCGAAAGCGUGGGGAGCGAACAGG
Molecule: ribosomal RNA, 253 nt
Filed under: uncultured bacterium
Lineage: Bacteria
Description: partial 16S ribosomal RNA
Rfam family: Bacterial small subunit ribosomal RNA
Source: RNAcentral